Molecule: ribosomal RNA, 1278 nt
Filed under: Coniella wangiensis
Lineage: Eukaryota; Fungi; Ascomycota; Sordariomycetes; Diaporthales; Schizoparmaceae
Description: eukaryotic LSU rRNA
Rfam family: Eukaryotic large subunit ribosomal RNA
Source: RNAcentral
UUUGACCUCGGAUCAGGUAGGAAUACCCGCUGAACUUAAGCAUAUCAAUAAGCGGAGGAAAAGAAACCAACAGGGAUUGCCCUAGUAACGGCGAGUGAAGCGGCAACAGCUCAAAUUUGAAAUCUGGCUUCGGCCCGAGUUGUAAUUUGCAGAGGAUGUUUCUGGCGCGGUGCCUUCCGAGUUCCCUGGAACGGGACGCCACAGAGGGUGAGAGCCCCGUAUGGUUGGAUACCAAGCCUGUGUGAAACUCCUUCGACGAGUCGAGUAGUUUGGGAAUGCUGCUCAAAAUGGGAGGUAAAUCUCUUCUAAAGCUAAAUAUUGGCCAGAGACCGAUAGCGCACAAGUAGAGUGAUCGAAAGAUGAAAAGCACCUUGAAAAGGGGGUUAAACAGUACGUGAAAUUGUUGAAAGGGAAGCGCUCAUGACCAGACUUGUGCCGGGCGGUUCAUCCGGGGUUCUCCCCGGUGCACUCCACCCGGUUCAGGCCAGCAUCGGUUUCUGCUGGGGGAUAAGAACGGUAGGAACGUGGCCCUCCUUCGGGAGGGUGUUAUAGCCUACCGUACGAUACCCUAGCGGAGACCGAGGUUCGCGCUCCGCAAGGAUGCUGGCGUAAUGGUCAUCAGCGACCCGUCUUGAAACACGGACCAAGGAGUCGUCCAUUAGAGCGAGCGUUUGGGUGUAAAACCCGCACGCGUAAUGAAAGUGAAAUUAGGUGAGAGCUUCGGCGCAUCAUCGACCGAUCCUGAUGUUCUCGGAUGGAUUUGAGUAAGAGUUUUAACGGACGGACCCGAAAGACAGUGAACUAUGCUUGUAUAGGGUGAAGCCAGAGGAAACUCUGGUGGAGGCUCGCAGCGGUUCUGACGUGCAAAUCGAUCGUCAAAUAUGAGCAUGGGGGCGAAAGACUAAUCGAACUGUCUAGUAGCUGGUUACCGCCGAAGUUUCCCUCAGGAUAGCAGUGUUGACCUUCAGUUUUAUGAGGUAAAGCGAAUGAUUAGGGACUCGGGGGCGCUUUUUAGCCUUCAUCCAUUCUCAAACUUUAAAUAUGUAAGAAGCCCUUGUUACUUAAUUGAACGUGGGCAUUCGAAUGUACCAACACUAGUGGGCCAUUUUUGGUAAGCAGAACUGGCGAUGCGGGAUGAACCGAACGCGGGGUUAAGGCGCCAGAGUGUACGCUCAUCAGACACCACAAAAGGCGUUAGUACAUCUUGACAGCAGGACGGUGGCCAUGGAAGUCGGAAUCCGCUAAGGACUGUGUAACAACUCACCUGCCGAAUGUACU